CAGACACGGAAAGGAUUGACAGAUUGAUAGCUCUUUCUCGAUUCUGUGGGGGGUGGUGCAUGGCCGUUCUUAGUUGGUGGAUUGAUUUGUCUGGUUAAUUCCGAUAACCCCCGAGCAUGCUCAAAUAAAUUUGUUAGUCUCUAAGGUGCCACAAGUAUUCCUUUUCUUUUUGCGAAUACAGACUAACACGUCUGCUACUCUGAAAC
This 206-nucleotide non-coding RNA is filed under the name Chelonia mydas (Green sea turtle). RNAcentral describes it as "Eukaryotic small subunit ribosomal RNA". It matches the Rfam family "Eukaryotic small subunit ribosomal RNA", at positions 1225 to 1444 of the family's 1831-position model. The record is from Rfam by way of RNAcentral. Lineage: Eukaryota; Metazoa; Chordata; Testudines; Cheloniidae.